UGAACGCUGGCGGCGUGCCUAACACAUGCAAGUCGAGCGAGAAACCUCUUGAAGAUACUCGGUUGAUCUGUGAGGCGGAAAGUGGCGGACGGGUGAGUAACGCGUGGGUAACCUGCCUUACACAGGGGGAUAACAGUUAGAAAUGACUGCUAAUACCGCAUAAGCGCACAGAAUCGCAUGAUUCAGUGUGAAAAGAUUUAUCGGUGUAAGAUGGACCCGCGUCUGAUUAGCUAGUUGGUGAGGUAACGGCCCACCCAAGGCGACGAUCAGUAGCCGGCCUGAGAGGGUGAACGGCCACAUUGGGACUGAGACACGGCCCAAACUCCUACGGGAGGCAGCAGUAGGGAAUAUUGGACAAUGGGGGAAACCCUGAUCCCAGCGACGCCGCGUGAGUGAAGAAGUAUUUCGGUACGUAAAGCUCUAUCAGCAGGGAAGAAAAUGACGGUACCUGACUAAGAAGCACCGGCUAAAUACGUGCCAGCCGCCGC
RNAcentral lists this ribosomal RNA (488 nucleotides) under uncultured bacterium. Its description in RNAcentral is "bacterial SSU rRNA". It matches the Rfam family "Bacterial small subunit ribosomal RNA", at positions 30 to 518 of the family's 1533-position model. The record is from RNAcentral.